GCGGAUGUGGCGGAAUUGGUAGACGCGCUAGAUUUAGGUUCUAGUUCUGCAAGGAGUGAAGGUUCAAGUCCUUUCAUCCGCA
This 82-nucleotide transfer RNA is filed under the name Coleofasciculaceae cyanobacterium SM2_1_6. Its description in RNAcentral is "tRNA-Leu". It matches the Rfam family "tRNA". From Rfam's summary of the family: Transfer RNA (tRNA) molecules are approximately 80 nucleotides in length. Their secondary structure includes four short double-helical elements and three loops (D, anti-codon, and T loops). Further hydrogen bonds mediate the characteristic L-shaped molecular structure. tRNAs have two regions of fundamental functional importance: the anti-codon, which is responsible for specific mRNA codon recognition, and the 3' end, to which the tRNAs corresponding amino acid is attached (by aminoacyl-tRNA synthetases). tRNAs cope with the degeneracy of the genetic code in two manners: having more than one tRNA (with a specific anti-codon) for a particular amino acid; and 'wobble' base-pairing, i.e. permitting non-standard base-pairing at the 3rd anti-codon position. RNAcentral also lists the same sequence under 1 other name. Lineage: Bacteria; Bacillati; Cyanobacteriota; Cyanophyceae; Coleofasciculales; Coleofasciculaceae. The record is from RNAcentral.